UGGUUCCUUUAACACUUGCUGCACAGGUGAUGGUUCCUUUACCACUUGCUGCACAGGUGAUGGUUCCUUUACCACUUGCUGCACAGGUGAUGGUUCCUUUACCACUUGCUGCACAGGUGAUGGUUCCUUUACCACUUGCUGCACAGGUGAUGGUUCCUUUACCACUUGCUGCACAGGUGCUGGUUCCUUUACCACUUGCUGCACAGGUGCUGGUUCCUUUACCACUUGCUGCACAGGUGAUGGUUCCUUUACCACUUGCUGCACAGGUGAUGGUUCCUUUACUUGCUGCACAG
Molecule: non-coding RNA, 293 nt
Organism: Cherax quadricarinatus
Lineage: Eukaryota; Metazoa; Arthropoda; Malacostraca; Decapoda; Parastacidae
Source: RefSeq, a predicted model, not a curated record